Oryzias latipes (Japanese medaka) is the source of this 627-nucleotide long non-coding RNA. RefSeq lists it as uncharacterized. The record is from RefSeq and is a predicted model, not a curated record. Lineage: Eukaryota; Metazoa; Chordata; Actinopteri; Beloniformes; Adrianichthyidae.
UAUUUUGAAAGGUUUCCUGUCUUGUCAUGUUUUUUGAGUUUUACUUCCUUUGUCCCAAUCUGUCCUGAUCAGGUUCUUGUCUCCCCUGCCUGUAUUUAAGUCUCGUCUCUCCCUUCCUCUUGGGCUGGUCCAUUAGCUUUUGUCAUGGUGUUCACGUCUUCAUGUCUUAGCGUCCUCGUUCCAUGUCCCUCGCCAAGCCACAAGACACGGAAGUUACCGCUGAAAGUGAUAUGGUGCCGCUGUCAGACUCCUCCCCCUCUCCCCUCCACUUGGCUGCUUCUCCAUCCCAGCUGCUGCCACUUACUUCAUCACCUCUUCUGCCUUCAUAAGGAGCCUCUGGAUCACCAGUCUUCGCCAGUCCGUUGCCCCUGAUGGAAUCCUUUGUCACAAGUGGUCGCCUGCAUCAACUUCUGUCUGGAACCUUCCCUCCGUUCGCUCCCGCUGGUCCCACCUCGAGCCUCUGCCGUCUUCUGCCAUCUCUCGGACCCCCUCCGACGUCAACUCCUUCCGACUGUCUGCAGAAAGAUCCAACAGUGACGCCACUCGAGUUCGAUCUUCACUCUCUGGGAACCCUAGAUCCUGCCCACGGCUUUCUGUCUGUUCUCUAUUAAAACCUCUUACCUGCCA